CACGUGAGAAUUCGCCUUUAGGAGGGGGAUAACGGAUGGAAACAUUCGCUAAAACCCCAUAUGCCCUCGGGUGAAAAAGAGAAAGUAAGUCAUACUGAUUUAUCUCUGCCUGAAGAGAAGCUCGCGGCUGAUUAGCUAGUUGGUAGGGUAAAGGCCUACCAAGGCGACGAUCAGUAGCUGGUCUGAGAGGACGAUCAGCCACACUGGAACUGAGACACGGUCCAGACUCCUACGGGAGGCAGCAGUGAGGAAUUUUCUGCAAUGGGCGAAAGCCUGACAGAGCAAUACCGCGUGGGGGAUGAAGACUUACUGAGUUGUAAACCUCGGUACCCUAAGGAAGAAGAUAUGACGGUACUUAGGGUGGAAAGCAUCGGCUAACUCCGUGCCAGCAGCCGCGGUAAGACGGGGGAUGCAAGUGUUAUCCGGAUUUACUGGGCGUAAAGCGUCUGCAGGUGGUUUCUUAAGUCUACUGUUAAAUCUUGAGGCUCAACCUCAAAUCUGCAGUAGAAACUAGGAGACUUGAGUAUAGUAGGGGUAGAGGGAAUUUCCAGUGGAGCGGUGAAAUGCGUAGAUAUUGGAAAGAACACCGAUGGCGAAGGCACUCUACUGGGCUAUUACUGACACUCAGAGACGAGAGCUAGGGGAGCAAAUGGGAUUAGAUACCCCAGUAGUCCUAGCCGUAAACGAUGGAUACUCGAUGUUGGACGUAUCGACCCGUUCAGUAUCUUAGCUAACGCGUUAAGUAUCCCGCCUGGGGAGUACGCUCGCAAGAGUGAAACUCAAAGGAAUUGACGGGGGCCCGCACAAGCGUUGGAGGAUGUGGUUUAAUUAGAUGCAACGAGAAGAACCUUACCAGGGUUUUCUAGAAGUGUUGAUUUUCUGAAAGAGGAUUCCUUAUUCCGCUUAUACAGGUGGUGCAUGGCUGUCGUCAGACUCGUGUCGUGAGAUGUUGGGUUAAGUCCCGCAACGAGCGCAACCCUUAUUUUUAGUUGUAUUGUCUAAAAAGACUGCCGGUGACAAACCGGAGGAAGGGGAGGAUGACGUCAAGUCAUCAUGCCCCUUACACCCUGGGCUACACACGUCCUACAAUGGGUAAGACAAUAAGUUGCAAAUUCGCGAGGAUAAGCUAAUCUUUGAAACUUACUCCAAGUACAGAUUG
RNAcentral lists this ribosomal RNA (1159 nucleotides) under uncultured organism. Its description in RNAcentral is "bacterial SSU rRNA". It matches the Rfam family "Bacterial small subunit ribosomal RNA", at positions 114 to 1300 of the family's 1533-position model. The record is from RNAcentral.